This 149-nucleotide non-coding RNA is filed under the name Nomascus leucogenys (northern white-cheeked gibbon). Lineage: Eukaryota; Metazoa; Chordata; Mammalia; Primates; Hylobatidae. The record is from Rfam by way of RNAcentral.
GCUGGGUGUGGUGGCGCAUGCCUGUAAUCCCAGCUGCUCAGGAGGCUAAGUCAGGAGAAUCGCUUGAACUCAGGAGGCAGAGGUUACAGUGAGCCAAGAUCACGCCACUGCAACUCCAGCCUGGGUGACAGAGUGAGACCCUGCCUCAA